Molecule: long non-coding RNA, 232 nt
Filed under: Dunaliella salina
Lineage: Eukaryota; Viridiplantae; Chlorophyta; Chlorophyceae; Chlamydomonadales; Dunaliellaceae
Description: long non-coding RNA (DSAL_LNC000231)
Source: RNAcentral
UUUCAUAGCCCACGCUGUGCAGCAGGUCCUGCAAGAUGGACACGUUGAUGGGGUCAUCAUCCACGAUGAGGAUUGUGUGGCCCUGGCCCUCGCUGUUGCGCGUCAGGGAGUCGUCGUUGUACUGCAUGGUGUCUUGCUGCCUGUGCGCGCGUGCAUGCGUGCGUGCGUGCGUGCGUGUGUGUGUGUGUGUGUGUGUGUGUGUGUGUGUGUGUGUGUGUGUGUGUGUGUGCGC